GCUUCCUACCCCAAAGAAAUGCAGCACUGCAGACAUGAGCUUUUUUCUUCAAACCAUUGCUAAAGGCAAAUGGUUUAAUCAUAAUUUUUUUCCUUUGCACAGCUUUCAUUUCAGAACUGACAUUUGCAUUUUAUGGAUGAGUAAUUCGGAGGGAGAAUGCACACUAAAAAGGUCACUCACAGAACCACACAGAUAACAGAUCUCAGCAAAAUGUCACUGAAGAUAAAGUCCGGGGUUUUCAGAGCAGCGCUUCUGAAGGUAGGCACUGUAUUGAGGUGUCAACGUGCAGGGGACAAUUUUUGCAUGCAAUUUCCAAGCCUUCCUUUUGAAAGCAUUGGCCCAAGCAGCACUGUUAUACUUGGAUAUUCGACAGGCAAGCAGUCUGAGCGCUGAGACUGGGAGAGGAAGACUGCAGUGGUCAGUUUAAAGGGUGAUUUGCCAAAUAGGAUGGAGCAGAGGCCACACCACAACAUUGCUAUUUUCUGACUGCCUGUGGCCGCUCAGGACUGAGUCACCUAACCCACAGCUGCCCGUGCAAAGCAGCCAGCUUGUGGGCUGGAAAACAGCAGGUGGGCUUUUAUCCCAAAACAUCCAUCCCUCUUUGCUCCCUGCUCCACCAGGACCGAAACCUUUGUUGCAGCUGAGCAGCUGGCCGAGAAGAGGGCCUGAACACGCACAACGUACCACAUGCAAGGGAAAAUUCUGCAACACGUAGGGCUGAUCGUUGGCUGCAUCGUAGCUUCUGUUUGGCACCUGAUCGGUGCUUUCCUACCAUCUCCUCCAUGGUUCAAAAGCAAAGCUGGGGGAAAAUUCAACACUAUCUUCAUCGGCCAGCCCGUAAAAUAACCGCCUUUGGCUGAAAAAAAUGAUGAUUACUGAGCCAUAAUCACAACACCCUUUUUUUUUUAAAGAACAGUUUAGCUUCAAGGCCCGAUUCCAUCUGUGACCAUGGAAGCUGUUCUGUGUCCUGGCAUGCAGGAGGAAAAAAACGUAGAUGUGUUUCCACUUUUCUCUGUGCUCACUUGAAUAACGGGACCAAGGUCAAACAACCUCAGACAGAAGGAAAAACGAUCACUGAACAGAAGUGGAAAUGUGAAAUACGUCAGAUGAUAUUCUUUUUUUUUUUGUCGUCAGAGGUGCUCGGGGAUUGUGGCCGCCAAGAAGAGAAUAGAUAGGCAGUCUGCAGAACGGGAGAUUUCUGACGGUGAAGUCCUAUUGGGGUUUUUUGGGACAGUUACAUAUAAGACACCAAAGGAAUGGCUCAGAACUACUAUCCCCACCUACAGUGUUUCUUUUCCUCUUCAUUUACGGUAACAAUGUUCAGGCAACAGUUUGUUUUUUUCAGUUCCCACUUACUAUUCAUUGCGAAACUUGGUAAGAUUGGCCAUGUUUUAAUGUGACUCCACAAGUAUACAGAUAAACACAUCUUUCUUCAACAGCUUCCUUCUAUUUACAAACCUAUCGCAUCGUUUGGGUCAUUCCUUGAGGCACAUAGCAUGGUUGGCUUCAUUCUGUCCUAAACCUUCUGCUAUUCCUCUCACUUGAUUACUGUGUAUAGAAAACAUACACAAGUGUUUUCUGAUACUUUGCCGAACGGCUUAAACACUGAGUAUCAAAACUGACUGCAGAAAUCUUCAUUCCAGGUGCUGCAGGUGACUUGGUGAUAGGCAUGAUUUGGAGCAAAGGGCAGAUUUGUAAGAACAAAUACUCAAGUAAAACUCCAUGGGACAAAAGCAGCAACAGCAGCAUGGCAAACUACAAAAUCAAGUUAAAAUCUGAAGCAUUGCAGAGUUUUUAAUGGAAGUAAUUAGCUUGAAAUGAAAGCUUCUACCUUAAGCCAAAUUAUAUGCGCACAGGAAAGGGAUUCAUUUGGUUAUGCUGCAGAACCUUUCCAAAUUGCACUGCACUGCUGCUAUUCCUUUUCCUUAGUAGCCGCAAAAUAAUUUAUUUUAGGUUAUCCAGGGCUUAAGUUCACAGAAGAACGCAUUUAAGUUGGCUUCACAGUCAUCAAAGUUUAGCGGCUUUAUUGAAUUCAAGCGAGAACCGCAUGGAAUAUCUGAGUCCGAGGCUGAUAAGCGAAACUUGACCUUCUACGGUACCAGCCAAGUAAAAACCCCUCUUAAUGUCACUUCCAGCUGCAGUAGAUAGAUAUCGUUUUUAAAGCAAUCUUGAACAAGAAUUUGUGAUGUCUGACAACUUUUUCAAUAUCCGGGAAUUACCCGCUGCUGGAAAACUUUCUGCUGGCUGAACAUUGCUUUGGUAGACAGGUUUGUCUUUGACUGCGGUUAAGGACAAAUUUACAAAGUAUCUCUCUAUAUACUGAGGAGCAGAUUUUAUCCUCAGAAAUUCAAGUGUGUGAGCAAAUCAGAGUUUGAAUAACAAUCUACUGUAUGGGAGUGCAAAUUAUAAAAUGGUACAAGUGAGUGAAGAUCAGCCUACAUUUCUAUAUUAUAACUUCAUUAAAUGAAGAUAUUCUAAAAAGCA
This is a non-coding RNA of Anas platyrhynchos (mallard), 2484 nucleotides long. NCBI's taxonomy places the organism in Eukaryota, Metazoa, Chordata, Aves, Anseriformes, Anatidae. The record is from RefSeq and is a predicted model, not a curated record.